AAAGUCCAAAGAAAGUGUAAAGAGUGCUGUGCGCCUAACAUGCUUCUUUCAUUUAUACUUUGUGUUAUGAAACACAAGACCCUGUUUUUUUGGUGGUCCUCAGCUUUCUAAAUUUUUUAUUUGGUAAUAAAAGUUGGGUGUUUACCCCCCGCAAAAGCUGGUCCCUUUCGUUAUACCGUUGCUGUAAUUGUGCAUUAGCCGAAAUUGAGUGUUACAGGUAUACUGCUCAUGUACACACCAAUAAGAAAAAAGUACAAGAUUGCUUGAGGACAAUCACAUUUUGUACUGGAACAACGAUGAAGACCAAUACAUGUUUAAAACCAUUUCACAUUGCUCAACUCAUUCAUUUCAAAUAACGUGUAUGAUAUUGGAAAAUGAACUUCGGCGGAACUAAAGCGUGGCAUAUAACAAGUUUUGUUUACACAAUGCUCGAUGUGCCAGUAAUAACAGUUUGUUCAAGGCAGAUGAGCACACCUCAACUGAAUCGGAUUUAAGAGCUUUUUUUUACGGCUGAUGAUUGUUUCUCUCCUCAUCGUCUCAGAAUAAGGAAGGGGCGAACCAGUCACAAGUUUCAUCACUUGGGAAGACGUAUCCUCUGAAGCCCUUAAUUGGGCCUUGGUGAGGUUCCAAAUAGCCUCAGAGAAUACGUUGGCGGGGUAACGUACAUUGCUUCUGAAGGUACCCCGUUCAAGGCCUUGAUGGGCCUUUGCGAGGCUCUACAUCACUUCGGAGAAAGUGGCUGGCGAAGCCUCAACGGCUUGCUGCUAGACUGGCUAGGCUCAAGUGGCCUCUUGCUUAGCUGGCAGCCAAGUGGACAGUGGCAUACCAUGAUGUGUUAUGAUAUAAAUCAACAAUCAUGCGACAUAGACAUAAUGACUGACAUAUUACUUGAUAUAAUGCCACGUGGCUAUCUAUCAUUGAAUUGUUUAAAAUAUAGUCAAUUUUUUCAACUAAUUACAUUUGUCAACACUUAUUAGGUCAACUAUCAGGUCCGAUCCCCUGCCCAACAGGAUAAAAUUUUUCUAACAUGACAAGAGAACCUUAAUUACGGUUGUCUUUCCACAUUGAAAGAAGAUCAAUUUCAAUAAACCAUAUAUCAUAAAUUUCAACCAAUUUGCUCUCAUUUCAGACUAGGCAGGCCCCAAAAAGUUGAGAUGGUAUGAAACUCAACAAAAAUCAAGAUGUACUAAAAUUUUGGUUUAAGACAGAAUGGACAUAAAUGCUUUGAUAAAUUGCAGGUUCCUAAAACAGAUCAUCUCUCUCAAUUCUUGUUUACCCUUUUUCUUUCCUUCAUUUUUCAUCUAUUUUUACAAUAAACCACAUAAUCCAAGCUCGCCGAUAUAUGAAAUCAAAUUGGUUAAAAUCUUUAGAAGAUAAGAAACGAUUCUUAAACAUAUUCACAAGCUGAGAUCUUGAAACUUGAAUAUGUGAGAAUUUUGUUGAAGACUGGCAACAGAAAUACAUAAGACAAUCAAGCCAAUUGAAGAUGAAACACAUACCUUCAACAGUGGUGUCUGGCACUUCUUAACCUGCAGCACAGAAGUGUUAUAAAAGAGGGCUUGCAUUUCUUAGUAAUCGCAAAUCCCUUCAUAAAUUCAUAGGUGAUCAUAAUCAUCAAAUGAGAAAAUAAACGCUAGAUUAUAAUGAAUUGAAAGAGGCUCAGACACGCACAAAUAGGUCAUCAGAAUUAAAGACCAAAUGGAAGGUCAAAAACCCUAUUAUUAUAUCAGCAUCGAGAAAUGAAUUCUAUCUUCAUCGCCUCAUAACAACUCGUCAAAAUUUCUAAGAAUUAUAUUGCAAGAAAAAUUAAAGGUAUAAAUGCAAAGAUCCGAAAUUGGAGAAUAACCAGUUAUUUUAUCCAAAAUCCAAAAACCAAGAAAGAACUGGUGAUUCUUGCUUACUACGUACGGAGCUAUAUAUAGCCGAUUAGGUUUAGCCGUUCGUCUAGGUUUAG
Molecule: long non-coding RNA, 1954 nt
Filed under: Olea europaea subsp. europaea
Lineage: Eukaryota; Viridiplantae; Streptophyta; Magnoliopsida; Lamiales; Oleaceae
Source: RNAcentral